UACGGGGGGUGCAAGCGUUGCUCGGAAUUAUUGGGCGUAAAGGGUAGGUAGGUGGUCUCAUUUGUCUGAUGUGAAAGCCUUGGGCUUAACUCAAGAAGUGCGUCAGAAACGGUGAGACUGGAGUCCUGGAGAGGGUCGUGGAAUUCCCGGUGUAGCGGUGAAAUGCGUAGAUAUUGGGAAGAACACCGGUGGCGAAGGCGGCCAUCUGGACCGCAACUGACGCUGAGGCGCGAAAGCGUGGGGAGCAAACAGG
Molecule: ribosomal RNA, 253 nt
Filed under: uncultured bacterium
Lineage: Bacteria
Description: partial 16S ribosomal RNA
Rfam family: Bacterial small subunit ribosomal RNA
Source: RNAcentral